GACGAACGCUGGCGGCGUGCUUAACACAUGCAAGUCGAACGGAAAGGCCCUGCUUUUGUGGGGUGCUCGAGUGGCGAACGGGUGAGUAACACGUGAGUAACCUGCCCUUGACUUUGGGAUAACUUCAGGAAACUGGGGCUAAUACCGGAUAGGAGCUCCUGCUGCAUGGUGGGGGUUGGAAAGUUUCGGCGGUUGGGGAUGGACUCGCGGCUUAUCAGCUUGUUGGUGGGGUAGUGGCUUACCAAGGCUUUGACGGGUAGCCGGCCUGAGAGGGUGACCGGCCACAUUGGGACUGAGAUGCGGCCCAGACUCCUACGGGAGGCAGCAGUGGGGAAAAUUGCAAAAUGGGCGGAAGCCUGAUGCAGCAACGCCGCGUGCGGGAUGACGGCCUUCGGGUUGUAAACCGCUUUCGCCUGUGACGAAGCGUGAGUGACGGUAAUGGGUAAAGAAGCACCGGCUAACUACGUG
RNAcentral lists this ribosomal RNA (468 nucleotides) under uncultured bacterium. Its description in RNAcentral is "partial 16S ribosomal RNA". It matches the Rfam family "Bacterial small subunit ribosomal RNA", at positions 28 to 507 of the family's 1533-position model. The record is from RNAcentral.